This 200-nucleotide unclassified non-coding RNA is filed under the name soil metagenome. RNAcentral's name for it is "partial contains internal transcribed spacer 2 and large subunit ribosomal RNA". The record is from RNAcentral.
CCUGUUCGAGCGUCAUUAUAACCACUCAAGCUUCGGCUUGGUAUUGGGGUUCCGCGGUCUCGCGGCCCUUAAAAUCAGUGGCGGUGCAUCUGGCUCUAAGCGUAGUAAUUCUCUCGCUAUAGGGUCCAGGUGGUUGCUUGCCAAAACCCCCCACUUCUAUGGUUGACCUCGGAUCAGGUAGGGAUACCCGCUGAACUUAA